AAAUUGAAGAGUUUGAUCAUGGCUCAGAUUGAACGCUGGCGGCAGGCCUAACACAUGCAAGUCGAGCGGUAGCACAGAGAGCUUGCUCUCGGGUGACGAGCGGCGGACGGGUGAGUAAUGUCUGGGAAACUGCCUGAUGGAGGGGGAUAACUACUGGAAACGGUAGCUAAUACCGCAUAACGUCGCAAGACCAAAGUGGGGGACCUUCGGGCCUCAUGCCAUCAGAUGUGCCCAGAUGGGAUUAGCUAGUAGGUGGGGUAACGGCUCACCUAGGCGACGAUCCCUAGCUGGUCUGAGAGGAUGACCAGCCACACUGGAACUGAGACACGGUCCAGACUCCUACGGGAGGCAGCAGUGGGGAAUAUUGCACAAUGGGCGCAAGCCUGAUGCAGCCAUGCCGCGUGUGUGAAGAAGGCCUUCGGGUUGUAAAGCACUUUCAGCGGGGAGGAAGGCGUUAAGGUUAAUAACCUUGGCGAUUGACGUUACCCGCAGAAGAAGCACCGGCUAACUCCGUGCCAGCAGCCGCGGUAAUACGGAGGGUGCAAGCGUUAAUCGGAAUUACUGGGCGUAAAGCGCACGCAGGCGGUCUGUCAAGUCGGAUGUGAAAUCCCCGGGCUCAACCUGGGAACUGCAUUCGAAACUGGCAGGCUAGAGUCUUGUAGAGGGGGUAGAAUUCCAGGUGUAGCGGUGAAAUGCGUAGAGAUCUGGAGGAAUACCGGUGGCGAAGGCGGCCCCCUGGACAAAGACUGACGCUCAGGUGCGAAAGCGUGGGGAGCAAACAGGAUUAGAUACCCUGGUAGUCCACGCCGUAAACGAUGUCGAUUUGGAGGUUGUGCCCUUGAGGCGUGGCUUCCGGAGCUAACGCGUUAAAUCGACCGCCUGGGGAGUACGGCCGCAAGGUUAAAACUCAAAUGAAUUGACGGGGGCCCGCACAAGCGGUGGAGCAUGUGGUUUAAUUCGAUGCAACGCGAAGAACCUUACCUGGUCUUGACAUCCACAGAACUUUCCAGAGAUGGAUUGGUGCCUUCGGGAACUGUGAGACAGGUGCUGCAUGGCUGUCGUCAGCUCGUGUUGUGAAAUGUUGGGUUAAGUCCCGCAACGAGCGCAACCCUUAUCCUUUGUUGCCAGCGGUUCGGCCGGGAACUCAAAGGAGACUGCCAGUGAUAAACUGGAGGAAGGUGGGGAUGACGUCAAGUCAUCAUGGCCCUUACGACCAGGGCUACACACGUGCUACAAUGGCAUAUACAAAGAGAAGCGACCUCGCGAGAGCAAGCGGACCUCAUAAAGUAUGUCGUAGUCCGGAUUGGAGUCUGCAACUCGACUCCAUGAAGUCGGAAUCGCUAGUAAUCGUAGAUCAGAAUGCUACGGUGAAUACGUUCCCGGGCCUUGUACACACCGCCCGUCACACCAUGGGAGUGGGUUGCAAAAGAAGUAGGUAGCUUAACCUUCGGGAGGGCGCUUACCACUUUGUGAUUCAUGACUGGGGUGAAGUCGUAACAAGGUAACCGUAGGGGAACCUGCGGUUGGAUCACCUCCUUA
RNAcentral lists this ribosomal RNA (1539 nucleotides) under Klebsiella pneumoniae. Its description in RNAcentral is "bacterial SSU rRNA". It matches the Rfam family "Bacterial small subunit ribosomal RNA". The record is from RNAcentral. RNAcentral also lists the same sequence under 2 other names. Lineage: Bacteria; Pseudomonadati; Pseudomonadota; Gammaproteobacteria; Enterobacterales; Enterobacteriaceae.